Molecule: RNase P RNA, 363 nt
Filed under: Alphaproteobacteria bacterium
Lineage: Bacteria; Pseudomonadati; Pseudomonadota; Alphaproteobacteria
Description: RNase P RNA component class A
Rfam family: Bacterial RNase P class A
About the family: Ribonuclease P (RNase P) is a ubiquitous endoribonuclease, found in archaea, bacteria and eukarya as well as chloroplasts and mitochondria.
Source: RNAcentral
UCAGUUGGUCGGAGGGUCGCGCUAUCUCAAGAUAGUGAGGAAAGUCCGGACUUCACGGAAACACGGUGCCGGUUAAUGGCCGGGCAGGGCGACCUGACGGAAAGUGCAACAGAGAGCAAACCGCCGCUGUCUUCGGGCAGAGGUAAGGGUGAAACGGUGCGGUAAGAGCGCACCACUCGUUCAGUAAUGAACAGGUACGGCAAACCCCACCGGAAGCAAGACCAAAUAGGGGCGGCAUAUCAUGCGUUUCCGCAUGGUCGCCCGGGUAGGUCGCCAGAGUUUUGCGGUAACGUAAAAUCGAGAUGAAUGGCUCUCAUUCUUUUUUAAAGAAUACAGAAUCCGGCUUAUAGACCAACUGAUUUU